GACCAGAAGGAUGGCUGAACUAUUUCUGGGCAGGGCAAAGCCAAAGAAAACUCUGAUGGAGGUCCGUAGCAGUCCUGAUAUGCAAAUCUGUCAUCCAACCUGGGUAUGGGGUGACAGGCUAAUCGAAACAUCUAGUAGCUGG
This 142-nucleotide non-coding RNA is filed under the name Loxodonta africana (African savanna elephant). Its description in RNAcentral is "Eukaryotic large subunit ribosomal RNA". It matches the Rfam family "Eukaryotic large subunit ribosomal RNA", at positions 813 to 954 of the family's 3401-position model. Lineage: Eukaryota; Metazoa; Chordata; Mammalia; Proboscidea; Elephantidae. The record is from Rfam by way of RNAcentral.